Molecule: ribosomal RNA, 289 nt
Filed under: uncultured bacterium
Lineage: Bacteria
Description: partial 16S ribosomal RNA
Rfam family: Bacterial small subunit ribosomal RNA
Source: RNAcentral
AACAAACGCUGGCGGCAGGCUUCAUACAUGCAAGUCGAGCGGAAAGGCCCUUCGGGGUACUCGAGCGGCGAACGGGUGAGUAACAGGUGGACAAUCUGCCCUCUGGCGGGGGACAACAGCUGGAAACGGCUGCUAAUACCGCAUGUGGUUGCAUGCCCCAGGGUGUGCAAAGAAAGGCGCGUUUGCGUCACCAGAGGAUGAGUCCGCCCCCCAUUAGCUAGUUGGUGGUGAUAACAGCGCACCAAGGCUUCGAUGGGUAGGCCGAGCUGAGAGGUUGAUCGGCCACACU